GACGAACGCUGGCGGCGUGCCUAAUACAUGCAAGUCGAACGGUUCUUUCUUUUGGAAGCUUGCUUCCGAUCGAGAGAAUAGUGGCGAACGGGUGAGUAACACGUGGGUAACCUGCCCAUAAGAGGGGGAUAACAUCCGGAAACGGGUGCUAAUACCGCAUAGUUUUUUUGAUCGCAUGAUCGAGAAAGGAAAGACGGCCUUUGUGCUGUCGCUUAUGGAUGGACCCGCGGCGUAUUAGUUAGUUGGUGAGGUAAUGGCUCACCAAGACGAUGAUACGUAGCCGACCUGAGAGGGUGAUCGGCCACAUUGGGACUGAGACACGGCCCAAACUCCUACGGGAGGCAGCAGUAGGGAAUCUUCCGCAAUGGACGAAAGUCUGACGGAGCAACGCCGCGUGAGUGAAGAAGGUUUUCGGAUCGUAAAACUCUGUUGUCAGAGAAGAACAAGUCGGAGAGUAACUGCUCCGGCCUUGACGGUAUCUGACCAGAAAGCCACGGCUAACUACGUGCCAGCAGCCGCGGUAAUACGUAGGUGGCAAGCGUUGUCCGGAUUUAUUGGGCGUAAAGCGAGCGCAGGCGGUUCCUUAAGUCUGAUGUGAAAGCCCACGGCUCAACCGUGGAAGGUCAUUGGAAACUGGGGAACUUGAGUGCAGAAGAGGAGAGUGGAAUUCCAUGUGUAGCGGUGAAAUGCGUAGAUAUACGGAGGAACACCAGUGGCGAANGCGACUCUCUGGUCUGUAACUGACGCUGANGCUCGAAAGCGUGGGGGAGCAAACAGGAUUAGAUACCCUGGUAGUCCACGCUGUAANGCGAUGAGUGCUAAGUGUUGGAGGGUUUCC
This 838-nucleotide ribosomal RNA is filed under the name bacterium enrichment culture clone ZZ_F6b. RNAcentral's name for it is "bacterial SSU rRNA". It matches the Rfam family "Bacterial small subunit ribosomal RNA", at positions 28 to 835 of the family's 1533-position model. The record is from RNAcentral.